This is a long non-coding RNA of Oncorhynchus keta (chum salmon), 608 nucleotides long. RefSeq lists it as uncharacterized. The transcript is spliced from 3 exons. The record is from RefSeq and is a predicted model, not a curated record. NCBI's taxonomy places the organism in Eukaryota, Metazoa, Chordata, Actinopteri, Salmoniformes, Salmonidae.
CUCAUGCCUCGGUGUUCAGUCGCAGAAGCCCUAAUGUCGUCAUGUCGGCGAAUAAAUAUCUAGGCUACACUCAGCUGGUUCACUGAAAAAGUAUGGAUGUAGCCAUUACCUACAACCAUUAGUAAUAACAUGAUUACCCCUGAAGAACAUACAAAGCAUUUAAACAAAAAAACUAGAAGAGAAAGCACUGAUUUUGCAGAUAGUGACUAUUGUGAACACUAUUGCGAUACGUGGUUGUUUUACCUACCUUAGACGAAUGCACUGAUUGUCUCUCAGGAUAAGAGAAUCUGCAAUAUGACAAAAAUGAAAACCCUUACAGAAUCACCCACCACAACAGGACCAAGCGGCGUGGUAACGGGCAACAGCAAAAGAAGCAGCAGGAGAAGGAACAGAGGCAGCAGCAGCAGGAACAGCAACAGCGAGGUCAGGAUUUCGGGACAUGGGAGCAGAAUCUGGACUACACAACUUGGGAGGAGAUAGACAGGUGGGCGUUCGACCCAGGGAGAGUGCCGGAGCCCGCCUGGGAUUCGAUGGAGCAGUGUGCGGAAGGUUACAGGAGAAUGAGGUUGGCAAAGCAAGCACGGCGGCACGGACGGAAGCCCGAGAGU